This 839-nucleotide ribosomal RNA is filed under the name uncultured bacterium. RNAcentral's name for it is "bacterial SSU rRNA". It matches the Rfam family "Bacterial small subunit ribosomal RNA", at positions 72 to 922 of the family's 1533-position model. The record is from RNAcentral.
AUCCCAGCUUGCUGGGGGAUUAGUGGCGAACGGGUGAGUAACACGUGAGUAACCCGCCCUUAACUCUGGGAUAAGCCUGGGAAACUGGGUCUAAUACCGGAUAUGACUCCUCAUCGCAUGGUGGGGGGUGGAAAGCUUUAUUGUGGUUUUGGAUGGACUCGCGGCCUAUCAGCUUGUUGGUGAGGUAAUGGCUCACCAAGGCGACGACGGGUAGCCGGCCUGAGAGGGUGACCGGCCACACUGGGACUGAGACACGGCCCAGACUCCUACGGGAGGCAGCAGUGGGGAAUAUUGCACAAUGGGCGAAAGCCUGAUGCAGCGACGCCGCGUGAGGGAUGACGGCCUUCGGGUUGUAAACCUCUUUCAGUAGGGAAGAAGCGAAAGUGACGGUACCUGCAGAAGAAGCGCCGGCUAACUACGUGCCAGCAGCCGCGGUAAUACGUAGGGCGCAAGCGUUAUCCGGAAUUAUUGGGCGUAAAGAGCUCGUAGGCGGUUUGUCGCGUCUGCCGUGAAAGUCCGGGGCUCAACUCCGGAUCUGCGGUGGGUACGGGCAGACUAGAGUGAUGUAGGGGAGACUGGAAUUCCUGGUGUAGCGGUGAAAUGCGCAGAUAUCAGGAGGAACACCGAUGGCGAAGGCAGGUCUCUGGGCAUUAACUGACGCUGAGGAGCGAAAGCAUGGGGAGCGAACAGGAUUAGAUACCCUGGUAGUCCAUGCCGUAAACGUUGGGCACUAGGUGUGGGGGACAUUCCACGUUUUCCGCGCCGUAGCUAACGCAUUAAGUGCCCCGCCUGGGGAGUACGGCCGCAAGGCUAAAACUCAAAGGAAUUGACGGGGGCCC